CAGGACUGGUCCAGAAGUUCCAGAACCAGACGUGGCCUGAGGUCUGGAGGCCAGCAGUCCUACGUCAAGGUGUCAGCAGGGCUGAGCUCCCUCCAAGGCUGCAGGGGAGGGUCCUUCCUGCCUCUUCCAGCUCCCAGUGGCUCCUUGGCUUGUGUGAAGCUUCACCCUUGUCUCUGCCUCCCAUGUCCCGACCCCCUGCUUCCCGGCUGCACCCAGGCAGGAGGCAGAAGGCCCUGCACACACAGUAGGCAGCGCCGCUGAUACUGCUCUGACCCCCCGGGAGCCCAUCCAACCCAACUGACACCACAGCUCCACCCCCCACGUGCUCAGGGGAGGGCAGCUGCAGGCCCUGGAGGCGGCACUCGUGUGUGUAGAAAGCUCCCCAGUACCCCGCUUUGAAGUAGGCACCUCCGGGCAGGGAUCGCUCAGAAGGCAGUUACGUUGCCACGUGAGCUACAAUUUCAUGUGACUGAAACCACUGUGAGUGAGGAGGGGCCAGCCUCCAGACAUCGGUCCUGUCAGUGACAUAAGGAUUAACACGGAAAGGAACUAUUUGCAUAGAAUCUUUAGGACAACCAAGGAGUGUAGUGCUGGAUCUCUCCAGACACUGUUUAGACACCAAACCAGCCCAUCUCUGACUACGAACACUGCGGCAGUGCAGACUGCUUGGGUGCUCCCAGGGGCCACAGAUUCAAA
Non-coding RNA from Odocoileus virginianus texanus, 696 nucleotides. The record is from RefSeq and is a predicted model, not a curated record. Lineage: Eukaryota; Metazoa; Chordata; Mammalia; Artiodactyla; Cervidae.